Molecule: long non-coding RNA, 693 nt
Organism: Brassica napus (rape)
Lineage: Eukaryota; Viridiplantae; Streptophyta; Magnoliopsida; Brassicales; Brassicaceae
Exons: 2
Source: RefSeq, a predicted model, not a curated record
CUCGCUUCGAUCACGUGACAGUAUAAGAUUCCGUAUUUCUUCAGAGACUCCGCCAUGUGAACCGCUAACGCUUGUGGGUUUUGUAAUGAUCCACCGUAAUCGUCAGUUCUGUCUGUCUUUCAUGAAAUGGUCGAUAAGAUAGCCAUAAGCUCCAUGGAUCUCUACUCCUUUGAAGCCUGCAAGCAACAACAACAUUCAAGGACACGUAUAUAAUUUUCACCAAUGGGUGUGAUUACCAGUUGACCAAAAAUAAAAAAGCGUGCUUACCAGCUUCCAUAGCGUUCCUUGCUGCAAGCCUGAAAUGGUUGACAAUGGUGGGGAUCUCUUCUGUACUUAGGCGUCUUGGAGGGGUAAACAUGGCUUCAUCGAUGGCAUUAGAGCGGAUCUGAGGCAUCAAUGGCUUGUCCGUACAGGAGAUGGGAGCUUGCCCAUUUGGCUGAAAACCUCUGUUAGAAACUCUGCCAACAUGCCAGAUCUGACAGAAGAUGAUGCCGCCUUUGUCGUGAACAGCAUCCACGAUUGGCUUCCAUGCCUUCACAUGCUCUUUAGUCCUAUUCCAGGUGUAUCUUGAUACCUUCAAGAGCAGGAAACCACACAAACGUGGGUCAGAUCAUAACCCACAAACAAAAAUCACAAACUUUAUAUCGAAGUGAGUAGAUAUAGAAGAAUAUAUUAACAAAUUUUUGAAUAACU